This 467-nucleotide ribosomal RNA is filed under the name Escherichia coli. RNAcentral's name for it is "bacterial SSU rRNA". It matches the Rfam family "Bacterial small subunit ribosomal RNA", at positions 1 to 462 of the family's 1533-position model. Lineage: Bacteria; Pseudomonadati; Pseudomonadota; Gammaproteobacteria; Enterobacterales; Enterobacteriaceae. The record is from RNAcentral.
UUAAAUUGAAGAGUUUGAUCAUGGCUCAGAUUGAACGCUGGCGGCAGGCCUAACACAUGCAAGUCGAACGGUAACAGGAAGAAGCUUGCUUCUUUGCUGACGAGUGGCGGACGGGUGAGUAAUGUCUGGGAAACUGCCUGAUGGAGGGGGAUAACUACUGGAAACGGUAGCUAAUACCGCAUAACGUCGCAAGACCAAAGAGGGGGACCUUCGGGCCUCUUGCCAUCGGAUGUGCCCAGAUGGGAUUAGCUAGUAGGUGGGGUAACGGCUCACCUAGGCGACGAUCCCUAGCUGGUCUGAGAGGAUGACCAGCCACACUGGAACUGAGACACGGUCCAGACUCCUACGGGAGGCAGCAGUGGGGAAUAUUGCACAAUGGGCGCAAGCCUGAUGCAGCCAUGCCGCGUGUAUGAAGAAGGCCUUCGGGUUGUAAAGUACUUUCAGCGGGGAGGAAGGGAGUAAAGUUA